Molecule: ribosomal RNA, 497 nt
Filed under: uncultured bacterium
Lineage: Bacteria
Description: partial 16S ribosomal RNA
Rfam family: Bacterial small subunit ribosomal RNA
Source: RNAcentral
GAUGAACGCUGGCGGCGUGCCUAAUACAUGCAAGUCGAGCGAACAGACGAGGAGCUUGCUCCUCUGACGUUAGCGGCGGACGGGUGAGUAACACGUGGAUAACCUACCUAUAAGACUGGGAUAACUUCGGGAAACCGGAGCUAAUACCGGAUAAUAUAUUGAACCGCAUGGUUCAAUAGUGAAAGACGGUUUUGCUGUCACUUAUAGAUGGAUCCGCGCCGCAUUAGCUAGUUGGUAAGGUAACGGCUUACCAAGGCAACGAUGCGUAGCCGACCUGAGAGGGUGAUCGGCCACACUGGAACUGAGACACGGUCCAGACUCCUACGGGAGGCAGCAGUAGGAAAUCUUCCGCAAUGGGCGAAAGCCUAACGGAGCAACGCCGCGUGAGUGAUGAAGGUCUUCGGAUCGUAAAACUCUGUUAUUAGGGAAGAACAAAUGUGUAAGUAACUAUGCACGUCUUGACGGUACCUAAUCAGAAAGCCACGGCUAACUACGUG